GCCAAGAUAGCUCAGUCGGUAGAGCGACAGACUGAAAAUUUGUGCGUGGGCGGUUCGAUCCCGUCUCUUGGUA
Molecule: non-coding RNA, 73 nt
Organism: Daphnia pulex (common water flea)
Lineage: Eukaryota; Metazoa; Arthropoda; Branchiopoda; Diplostraca; Daphniidae
Source: the annotation of a RefSeq genome assembly